CACGGGGAGGUAGUGACGAAAAAUAACGAUACGGGACUCAUCCGAGGCCCCGUAAUCGGAAUGAGUACACUCUAAAUCCUUUUCCAAGGACCCAUUGGAGGGCAAGUCUGGUGCCAGCAGCCGCGGUAAUUCCAGCUCCAAUAGCGUAUAUUAAAGUUGUUGCGGUUAAAAAGCUCGUAGUCGAAUCUGUGUCCCGCGCCGCUGGUUCAUCGCUCGCGGUGUUCAACUGGCGUGUCUCGCGGGACGUCCUGCCGGUGGGCUUUCGGAUUGAUCGUCAAGAGCGGUCGUUCGUGGCCCAACUCGUAUCCGUUUUGCACGGGUGCGAAUCCCAUCGCGGUGCUCUUUAUUGAGUGUCGAGGUGGGCCGGCACGUUUACUUUGAACAAAUUAGAGUGCUUAAAGCAGGCCAAUUUUGCCUGAAUAUUGUGUGCAUGGAAUAAUGGAAUAGGACCUCGGUUCUAUUUUGUUGGUUUUCGGAACCCCGAGGUAAUGAUUAAUAGGAACGGAUGGGGGCAUUCGUAUUGCGACGUUAGAGGUGAAAUUCUUGGAUCGUCGCAAGACGGACAGAAGCGAAAGCAUUUGCCAAAAACGCUUUCAUUGAUCAAGAACGAAAGUUAGAGGUUCGAAGGCGAUCAGAUACCGCCCUAGUUCUAACCAUAAACGAUGCCAGCUAGCGAUCCGCCGACGUUCCUCCGAUGACUCGGCGGGCAGCUUCCGGGAAACCAAAGCUUUUGGGUUCCGGGGGAAGUAUGGUUGCAAAGCUGAAACUUAAAGGAAUUGACGGAAGGGCACCACCAGGAGUGGAGCCUGCGGCUUAAUUUGACUCAACACGGGAAACCUCACCAGGCCC
RNAcentral lists this ribosomal RNA (849 nucleotides) under Neothetalia canadiana. RNAcentral's name for it is "SSU rRNA". It matches the Rfam family "Eukaryotic small subunit ribosomal RNA", at positions 455 to 1225 of the family's 1831-position model. The record is from RNAcentral. Lineage: Eukaryota; Metazoa; Arthropoda; Insecta; Coleoptera; Staphylinidae.